AUUGAACGCUGGUGGCAGGCUUAACAUAUGCAAGUCGAACGAGUGGCGGACGGGUGAGUAAUGCUUGGGCAUCUAGCUCAUGGAGGGGGAUAACUACGGGAAACUGUAGCUAAUACCGCGUACCAUAGUCUGAGCCCACGUGGGAUUAGGUAGUUGGUGCGGUAAAGGCUCACCAAGCCGACGAUCCCUAGCUGGUCUGAGAGGAUGACCGGCCACACUGGGACUGAGACACGGCCCAGACUCCUACGGGAGGCAGCAGUGGGGAAUAUUGCGCAAUGGGGGCAACCUGACGCAGCCAGGCCGCGUGAAUGAAGAAGGUCUUCGGGUUGUAAAGUUCUUUCGGUAGAGAGGCGUUAACUACAGAGAAAGCACCGGCUAACUCCGUGCCAGCAGCCGCGGUAAUUC
This 405-nucleotide ribosomal RNA is filed under the name uncultured bacterium. RNAcentral's name for it is "partial 16S ribosomal RNA". It matches the Rfam family "Bacterial small subunit ribosomal RNA", at positions 30 to 526 of the family's 1533-position model. The record is from RNAcentral.